GGGUUGUGAGGUUAAGCGACUAAGCGUACACGGUGGAUGCCCUGGCAGUCAGAGGCGAUGAAGGGCGUGCUAAUCUGCGAUAAGCGCCGGUAAGGUGAUAUGAACCGUUAUAACCGGCGAUACCCGAAUGGGGAAACCCAGUGUGAUUCGUCACACUAUCAUUAACUGAAUCCAUAGGUUAAUGAGGCGAACCGGGGGAACUGAAACAUCUAAGUACCCCGAGGAAAAGAAAUCAACCGAGAUUCCCCCAGUAGCGGCGAGCGAACGGGGAGGAGCCCAGAGCCUGAAUCAGCAUGUGUGUUAGUGGAAGCGUCUGGAAAGGCGCGCGAUACAGGGUGACAGCCCCGUACACAAAAGCGCAUGUGCUGUGAGCUCGAUGAGUAGGGCGGGACACGUGGUAUCCUGUCUGAAUAUGGGGGGACCAUCCUCCAAGGCUAAAUACUCCUGACUGACCGAUAGUGAACCAGUACCGUGAGGGAAAGGCGAAAAGAACCCCGGCGAGGGGAGUGAAAAAGAACCUGAAACCGUGUACGUACAAGCAGUGGGAGCACCCUUUGGGUGUGACUGCGUACCUUUUGUAUAAUGGGUCAGCGACUUAUAUUCUGUAGCAAGGUUAACCGAAUAGGGGAGCCGGAGGGAAACCGAGUCUUAACCGGGCGUUAAGUUGCAGGGUAUAGACCCGAAACCCGGUGAUCUAGCCAUGGGCAGGUUGAAGGUUGGGUAACACUAACUGGAGGACCGAACCGACUAAUGUUGAAAAAUUAGCGGAUGACCUGUGGCUGGGGGUGAAAGGCCAAUCAAACCGGGAGAUAGCUGGUUCUCCCCGAAAGCUAUUUAGGUAGCGCCUCGUGAAUUCAUCUCCGGGGGUAGAGCACUGUUUCGGCUAGGGGGCCAUCCCGGCUUACCAACCCGAUGCAAACUGCGAAUACCGGAGAAUGUUAUCACGGGAGACACACGGCGGGUGCUAACGUCCGUCGUGAAGAGGGAAACAACCCAGACCGCCAGCUAAGGUCCCAAAGUCAUGGUUAAGUGGGAAACGAUGUGGGAAGGCCCAGACAGCCAGGAUGUUGGCUUAGAAGCAGCCAUCAUUUAAAGAAAGCGUAAUAGCUCACUGGUCGAGUCGGCCUGCGCGGAAGAUGUAACGGGGCUAAACCAUGCACCGAAGCUGCGGCAGCGACACUGUG
This 1184-nucleotide ribosomal RNA is filed under the name Salmonella enterica subsp. enterica serovar Enteritidis. Its description in RNAcentral is "partial 23S ribosomal RNA". It matches the Rfam family "Bacterial large subunit ribosomal RNA", at positions 1 to 1218 of the family's 2925-position model. Lineage: Bacteria; Pseudomonadati; Pseudomonadota; Gammaproteobacteria; Enterobacterales; Enterobacteriaceae. The record is from RNAcentral.